This 298-nucleotide ribosomal RNA is filed under the name Proteus sp. (in: enterobacteria). RNAcentral describes it as "Proteus sp. partial 16S ribosomal RNA". It matches the Rfam family "Bacterial small subunit ribosomal RNA", at positions 801 to 1098 of the family's 1533-position model. The record is from RNAcentral. Lineage: Bacteria; Pseudomonadati; Pseudomonadota; Gammaproteobacteria; Enterobacterales; Morganellaceae.
AAGGCGAUGUCGAUCUGGCGCUUAGUGCCCUUGAGCGCGUGGCUUCCGGAGCUAACGCGUUAAAUCGACCGCCUGGGGAGUACGGCCGCAAGGUUAAAACUCAAAUGAAUUGACGGGGGCCCGCACAAGCGGUGGAGCAUGUGGUUUAAUUCGAUGCAACGCGAAGAACCUUACCUGGUCUUGACAUCCACAGAACUUUCCAGAGAUGGAUUGGUGCCUUCGGGAACUGUGAGACAGGUGCUGCAUGGCUGUCGUCAGCUCGUGUUGUGAAAUGUUGGGUUAAGCCCCGCAACGAAAA